AGUGAACGCUGGCGGUAGGCCUAACACAUGCCAGUCGAACGGCAGCACAGUAAGAGCUUGCUCUUACGGGUGGCGAGUGGCGGACGGGUGAGGAAUACAUCGGAAUCUACUUUUUCGUGGGGGAUAACGUAGGGAAACUUACGCUAAUACCGCAUACGACCUACGGGUGAAAGCAGGGGAUCUUCGGACCUUGCGCGAUUGAAUGAGCCGAUGUCGAAUUAGCUAGUUGGCGGGGUAAAGGCCCACCAAGGCGACGAUCCGUAGCUGGUCUGAGAGGAUGAUCAGCCACACUGGAACUGAGACACGGUCCAGACUCCUACGGGAGGCAGCAGUGGGGAAUAUUGGACAAUGGGCGCAAGCCUGAUCCAGCCAUACCGCGUGGGUGAAGAAGGCCUUCGGGUUGUAAAGCCCUUUUGUUGGGAAAGAAAAGCAGCAGGUUAAUACCCCGCUGUUCUGACGGUACCCAAAGAAUAAGCACCGGCUAACUUCGUG
Molecule: ribosomal RNA, 492 nt
Filed under: uncultured bacterium
Lineage: Bacteria
Description: partial 16S ribosomal RNA
Rfam family: Bacterial small subunit ribosomal RNA
Source: RNAcentral